RNAcentral lists this unclassified non-coding RNA (768 nucleotides) under Hevea brasiliensis (rubber tree). Lineage: Eukaryota; Viridiplantae; Streptophyta; Magnoliopsida; Malpighiales; Euphorbiaceae. The record is from RNAcentral.
CUCUCCAAAGACACAUCCUCAUAUAUCACUUUUUUAUCGUCAUCUGCUUCUUCCUUUUUGUCUGCCUCAACAUGUGAGCUCUUGAUUCUAGCAUGACCAUCAAUGAACCGAUCAACAACAGCCUGGAGAUUGCUAUCAGCUUCAAUCUUCUCAAUGUCAGAUCCACACAGUGGACGAUUUGCAAUAAACAUGAGAGCAAGGCACACAUCUGCUACUCUCAAAGAGAAGUGCUUGGCAUAAAACACAACUGAGAGGCCCAAUUUUAAAUGUUUGAGAAUCAUAUCCUAAGGGACCCUUUGGAGAAAUGCUGCCAGAUUUAGCGCUGGCAGAAUCAUAUCCAAAGGGACACUUCGGAGAAAUGCUGGAAGAUUCUCCAGACUAUUUCUUCCCCUUCCUGCCGUGCUCCGUCCCAUGUUUGCUCGGAAUUUCCCCCGGUUUCUUCGACGUCGAAUCAUCAGGGCCCGCAGCUUUCAUAAAGGGACAGACUGGCGUCAUCUGGAGAGGCAAACUACCAAUUCUGCAUCAAACACAACGAAUUGCAGCGAGAAAGAAGGGUAUGGGGUAGCUUAGUAGGAAGUGUGAGUGGAAAAAGCCCUAAGCUUCGAGUUUGGCUUCUGUCGUCGGUCGUCGGUCGUCGUUCUGGGUCUGUAUUGGACAUUGCAGGAGUCUGCCUUGUUUUCUCUUUUUUUUUUUUUUUUUNNNNNNNNAUUUUCCGAUUUCAAUUUUGCUCAAAUUUGCAGAUUUUUAUUAAUUUAUUUUCUUUUUAAU